AGUGAACGCUGGCGGUGGGCCUAACACAUGCAAGUCGAACGGCAGCACAGUAAGAGCUUGCUCUUACGGGUGGCGAGUGGCGGGCGGGUGAGGAAUACAUCGAAAUCUACUUUUUCGUGGGGGAUAACGUAGGGAAACUUACGCUAAUACCGCAUACGACCUACGGGUGAAAGCAGGGGAUCUUCGGACCUUGCGCGAUUGAAUGAGCCGAUGUCGGAUUAGCUAGUUGGGGGGGUAAAGGCCCACCAAGGCGACGAUCCGUAGCUGGUCUGAGAGGAUGAUCAGCCACACUGGAACUGAGACACGGUCCAGACUCCUACGGGAGGCAGCAGUGGGGAAUAUUGGACAAUGGGCGCAAGCCUGAUCCAGCCAUACCGCGUGGGUGAAGAAGGCCUUCGGGUUGUAAAGCCCUUUUGUUGGGAAAGAAAAGCAGCAGGUUAAUACCCCGCUGUUCUGACGGUACCCAAAGAAUAAGCACCGGCUAACUUCGUG
This 492-nucleotide ribosomal RNA is filed under the name uncultured bacterium. Its description in RNAcentral is "partial 16S ribosomal RNA". It matches the Rfam family "Bacterial small subunit ribosomal RNA", at positions 29 to 507 of the family's 1533-position model. The record is from RNAcentral.